GCAUGUCUAAGUAUAAGCAAUUAUACCGCGAAACUGCGAAUGGCUCAUUAUAUAAGUUAUCGUUUAUUUGAUAAUACUUUACUACUUGGAUAACCGUGGUAAUUCUAGAGCUAAUACAUGCUGAAAAUCCCGACUUCGGAAGGGAUGUAUUUAUUAGAUUAAAAACCAAUGCCCCUCGGGGCUCUCUGGUGAAUCAUGAUAACUAGUCGAAUCGACAGGCCUUGUGCCGGCGAUGGCUCAUUCAAAUUUCUUCCCUAUCAACUUUCGAUGUUUGGGUAUUGGCCAAACAUGGUGGCAACGGGUAACGGAGGGUUAGGGCUCGACCCCGGAGAAGGAGCCUGAGAAACGGCUACUACAUCCAAGGAAGGCAGCAGGCGCGCAAAUUACCCAAUCCCGACACGGGGAGGUAGUGACAAUAAAUACUGAUACAGGGCUCUUUUGGGUCUUGUAAUCGGAAUGAGUACAAUUUAAAUCCCUUAACGAGGAACAAUUGGAGGGCAAGUCUGGUGCCAGCAGCCGCGGUAAUUCCAGCUCCAAUAGCGUAUAUUAAAGUUGUUGUGGUUAAAAAGCUCGUAGUUGAACCUUGGGCCUGGCUGGCCGGUCCGCCUCACCGCGUGCACUGGUCCGGCCGGGCCUUUCCCUCUGCGGAACCCCAUGCCCUUCACUGGGUGUGGCGGGGAAACAGGACUUUUACUUUGAAAAAAUUAGAGUGCUCAAGGCAGGCCUAUGCUCGAAUACAUUAGCAUGGAAUAAUAGAAUAGGACGUGUGGUUCUAUUUUGUUGGUUUCUAGGACCGCCGUAAUGAUUAAUAGGGACAGUCGGGGGCAUCAGUAUUCAAUUGUCAGAGGUGAAAUUCUUGGAUUUAUUGAAGACUAACUACUGCGAAAGCAUUUGCCAAGGAUGUUUUCAUUAAUCAGGAACGAAAGUUAGGGGAUCGAAGACGAUCAGAUACCGUCGUAGUCUUAACCAUAAACUAUGCCGACUAGGGAUCGGACGAUGUUACAUUUUUGACGCGUUCGGCACCUUACGAGAAAUCAAAGUGCUUGGGCUCCAGGGNNAGUNUGGNCGC
This 1069-nucleotide ribosomal RNA is filed under the name Trichoderma harzianum. RNAcentral describes it as "SSU rRNA". It matches the Rfam family "Eukaryotic small subunit ribosomal RNA", at positions 53 to 1132 of the family's 1831-position model. Lineage: Eukaryota; Fungi; Ascomycota; Sordariomycetes; Hypocreales; Hypocreaceae. The record is from RNAcentral.